RNAcentral lists this small RNA (539 nucleotides) under Histoplasma ohiense. RNAcentral's name for it is "hypothetical lncRNA". The record is from RNAcentral. Lineage: Eukaryota; Fungi; Ascomycota; Eurotiomycetes; Onygenales; Ajellomycetaceae.
AGCAAAAAACAGUUACAAAUCAGCUUCGAGAUUCUCUCCGUGAUCUGAAUGGACCACUCGAUGAACUCAAAGACAAGUAGGAUUGUGACAGGUUGAGUCCAACCCUGCAUUGGCGAUUGACCUCUUGUAGAGGCGUGUUGCCACCUGUUCCGCAGUACGAAAUCGGAACUUUUUUGGUUUUGGUAGCCGCAGGGGUAGCCAUUCUGAACGAGCGAGAUGGUGCUCGAGGAUGAGGAGAUUCAGUUUGGCGGAAUGAGGUAUCUGAUGCCUGAGCCUUUUAAUCUGGGAAGAAUGAUAAAGAUGUUGAAGUCGGGAAAAAUCUAGGUAGAAUCUGAGGUAAACAAACGGACGACCAACGCAUAACUACCAACUUUUAAAGGCGUCGCCCGCCCCGUCAAUUCCAAUCUAGGGGAUCCUCGAGCUUCACGACCGACAAGGGUAGCAAGGCAAGGCUUUAUUCGCGAGAGACCUCUGCGGAUGCCAGGCAUUGCCAAUCCAUGCCCUUGCCAGGGAUGGUAGGCGAAAUUAUUAUAGUGAGG